Odocoileus virginianus texanus is the source of this 742-nucleotide non-coding RNA. The record is from RefSeq and is a predicted model, not a curated record. Lineage: Eukaryota; Metazoa; Chordata; Mammalia; Artiodactyla; Cervidae.
AGUGACUUCACUUCACAAUCCUCUUCAAGAACUACAAAGAUGCCAUUUUGGAAUGAAAAAUAAGGGGCUGGUUUUGUUCACCACUGGGAACAUUAUGCAUAAGCUCAGCAUAUGGGAGCUGGUAUGGGUGGCUUGUAUCUCAAACAGAAAGUGCAGAGAGAAGAGCACUGACUUGACUAUUGAUCUUUCCAAGGAUUCUCAGGGAGAGAGAAGAAAUAAAAGUUGUCAUGGGGUCAGUGGUGUCUAAAGAAAGAUGAGGCAUGAGAUAAGAGAAAGAUGGCUGAUCAUCUCCACAAACAAUAAGGAAGUAAAACAUUUCAAGAGAGAAAAAUCUUCAAUACCUUUUAUGUUACAGAAGAGUUUUCAGAACUUACCUCCAAAGGGACUCACAUUUAAAAACUUUUCCCUAUUCUAGAAUGAUUUCACUCACUUUAAGUAAUCUUACAGGUCCUCUCUGGAAUGAUGGUCAUGCUUACUUGGAAAUGCAGGGACACUGCAGCAGAUAGGUCAGAGAAGGUCAAGGAGGAUGAUUCUAUCAGAUGUGGCAAGAUUUAGGUCAAUAGUGACCUUUUAGAAAACCAUGUCUGUAGAAAGGCUGGCAGAAGAUAAAUUGCAGGGGUUAAGUAAGAAAUUCUUGAUGAAGGGAGGAGAGAAAUGGCUGAAAAUCAAGAUAUGUGCCCACAAUAAAGUGGUUGGUAAAAGGGCAAAUGUUAGGAUAACUUAUGUAAAAUGUACACUGGAA